CAGUCGCGGUAAUACGUAGGUGGCGAGCGUUGUCCGGAAUUAUUGGGCGUAAAGGGAGCGCAGGCGGGCGAGUAAGUCUUUCUUAAAAGUGCGGGGCUCAACCCCGUGAGGGGAGAGAAACUACUCAUCUUGAGUGCAGGAGAGGAAAGCGGAAUUCCUAGUGUAGCGGUGAAAUGCGUAGAUAUUAGGAAGAACACCAGUGGCGAAGGCGGCUUUCUGGUCUGUAACUGACGCUGAGGAGCGAAAGCGUGGGGAGCGAACAGGAUUAGAUACCCCCGUAGUCCCUGUCUCUUAUACACAC
This 301-nucleotide ribosomal RNA is filed under the name uncultured bacterium. RNAcentral's name for it is "partial 16S ribosomal RNA". It matches the Rfam family "Bacterial small subunit ribosomal RNA", at positions 512 to 816 of the family's 1533-position model. The record is from RNAcentral.